AACCUAUGGUGAGGGCACCUUCUCAGUAAGCCCUUGUAUCUUUCCCAUGCAUCGUAAAGUGUUUCUAAAUCCAUCUGCACAAAAGAAGAGAUAUCAUUACGUAAUUU
This is a non-coding RNA of Gossypium arboreum, 107 nucleotides long. The record is from Rfam. Lineage: Eukaryota; Viridiplantae; Streptophyta; Magnoliopsida; Malvales; Malvaceae.